RNAcentral lists this ribosomal RNA (763 nucleotides) under uncultured bacterium. Its description in RNAcentral is "bacterial SSU rRNA". It matches the Rfam family "Bacterial small subunit ribosomal RNA", at positions 120 to 923 of the family's 1533-position model. The record is from RNAcentral.
GGGGAUCUACCCAGUACUACGGAAUAACACAGAGAAAUUUGUGCUAAUACCGUAUACGCCCUUCGGGGAAAGAUUUAUCGGUAUUGGAUGAACCCGCGUUUGAUUAGCUAGUUGGUGAGGUAAUGGCUCACCAAGGCUACGAUCAAUAGCUGGUCUGAGAGGAUGAUCAGCCACACUGGGACUGAGACACGGCCCAGACUCCUACGGGAGGCAGCAGUGGGGAAUAUUGGACAAUGGGCGCAAGUGAUCCAGCCAUUCCGCGUGAGUGAUGACGGCCCUGGGGUUGUAAAGCUCUUUCAACGGUGAAGAUAAUGACGGUAACCGUAGAAGAAGCCCCGGCUAACUUCGUGCCAGCAGCCGCGGUAAUACGAAGGGGGCUAGCGUUGUUCGGAAUUACUGGGCGUAAAGCGCACGUAGGCGGAUUGUUAAGUUAGGGGUGAAAUCCCGGGGCUCAACCCCGAACUGCCUCCAAAACUAUCAGUCUAGAGUUCGAGAGAGGUGAGUGGAAUUCCGAGUGUAGAGGUGAAAUUCGUAGAUAUUCGGAGGAACACCAGUGGCGAAGGGGCUCACUGGCUCGAUACUGACGCUGAGGUGCGAAAGUGUGGGGAGCAAACAGGAUUAGAUACCCUGGUAGUCCACACCGUAAACGAUGAAUGCCAGUCGUCAGCAAGCAUGCUUGUUGGUGACACACCUAACGGAUUAAGCAUUCCGCCUGGGGAGUACGGUCGCAAGAUUAAAACUCAAAGGAAUUGACGGGGGCCCG